This 302-nucleotide ribosomal RNA is filed under the name uncultured bacterium. Its description in RNAcentral is "partial 16S ribosomal RNA". It matches the Rfam family "Bacterial small subunit ribosomal RNA", at positions 508 to 807 of the family's 1533-position model. The record is from RNAcentral.
GCAGCAGCCGCGGUAACACGGAGGGGGCUAGCGUUGUUCGGAAUUACUGGGCGUAAAGCGCACGUAGGCGGCUUGGUAAGUUAGAGGUGAAAGCCUGGAGCUCAACUCCAGAAUUGCCUUUAAGACUGCCGAGCUAGCAGGUGAGAGAGGUAAGUGGAAUUCCGAGUGUAGAGGUGAAAUUCGUAGAUAUUCGGAAGAACACCAGUGGCGAAGGCGGCUUACUGGCUCAUACUGGACGCUGAGGUGCGAAAGCGUGGGGAGCAAACAGGAUUAGAUACCCCCGUAGUCCCUGUCUCUUAUAC